UUCGAAGAUGAAGCGGCACUGGGCUCCGACGGCGUUAGACAAACGUUCGGUCGUGAUGGAUAAGCCAAUUUGCGGCAGGCCUAGAAAACCUCGCCCACUGAGA
RNAcentral lists this small nucleolar RNA (103 nucleotides) under Aspergillus ustus. Its description in RNAcentral is "A. fumigatus snoRNA Afu_513". It matches the Rfam family "A. fumigatus snoRNA Afu_513". The record is from Rfam by way of RNAcentral. Lineage: Eukaryota; Fungi; Ascomycota; Eurotiomycetes; Eurotiales; Aspergillaceae.